Molecule: ribosomal RNA, 427 nt
Filed under: uncultured bacterium
Lineage: Bacteria
Description: bacterial SSU rRNA
Rfam family: Bacterial small subunit ribosomal RNA
Source: RNAcentral
UGGGGAAUUUUGGACAAUGGGGGCAACCCUGAUCCAGCCAUCCCGCGUGUGCGAUGAAGGCCUUCGGGUUGUAAAGCACUUUUGGCAGGGAAGAAACAGCCUGGGCUAAUAUCCCGGGCGACUGACGGUACCUGCAGAAUAAGCACCGGCUAACUACGUGCCAGCAGCCGCGGUAAUACGUAGGGUGCAAGCGUUAAUCGGAAUUACUCGGCGUAAAGCGUGCGCAGGCGGUUCGGAAAGAAAGGUGUGAAAUCCCAGGGCUUAACCUUGGAACUGCACUUUUAACUACCGGGCUAGAGUACGUCAGAGGGGGGUAGAAUUCCACGUGUAGCAGUGAAAUGCGUAGAGAUGUGGAGGAAUACCGAUGGCGAAGGCAGCCCCCUGGGAUGAUACUGACGCUCAUGCACGAAAGCGUGGGGAGCAAACA